RNAcentral lists this ribosomal RNA (452 nucleotides) under uncultured bacterium. RNAcentral describes it as "bacterial SSU rRNA". It matches the Rfam family "Bacterial small subunit ribosomal RNA", at positions 29 to 506 of the family's 1533-position model. The record is from RNAcentral.
AUGAACGCUGGCGGCGUGUCUAAGGCAUGCAAGUCGAAAGUGCACUUCGGUGCAACUUGGCAAACGGGAGAGUAACACAUUGGUAACCUACCUUGAGGACGAGAAUAAUCCCGCGAAAGCGGGAAUAAUACUCGAUAAUAGUGGGGGGGCAUAAGUCAUUCCCACUUAAAGCUCCGACACCUCAAGAGGGGCCUAUGACCUAUCAGCUAGUUGGUGAGGUAAUAGCUCACCAAGGCAACGACGGGUAGCGGGUGUGAGAGCAUGACCCGUCUCACUGGGACUGAGACACUGCCCAGACUCCUACGGGAGGCUGCAGUCAAGAAUAUUCCUCAAUGGCCGAAAGGCUGAAGGAGCGACGCCGCGUGAUUGAUGAAGCCCUUCGGGGUGUAAAAAUCUUUUCUCUCCGACGAAACAAUGACGGUAGGAGAGGAAUAAGGGGCUGCUAACUUCGU